This is an RNA transcript of Mesoplodon densirostris (Blainville's beaked whale), 2671 nucleotides long. It is a transcript of the gene named CD55 molecule (Cromer blood group), with no coding region annotated. The transcript has 10 exons. Lineage: Eukaryota; Metazoa; Chordata; Mammalia; Artiodactyla; Ziphiidae. The record is from RefSeq and is a predicted model, not a curated record.
GGCCCUGGCCCCGCCCAAGGCGCUAAUUUAACUCGAACUGCAGAACUACCGGGCGCUGCUCCUACUUCCAGCUCCUGGCUCGAGCCUGCUUGGUCUUAACCUCAGAGACCGCGGAGCCCCGACGCCGGAUCCCCGUCCCCGCUCGCCAUGAGUCCCGCGCGGCGGAGCGCCCCCGUUGUGCUGCGCCUACUGGGCGGGCUGGCUCCGCCGCUGCUGCUGCUGCUGCUCCUGCGUCCUCCGGCUGCGUCGGGUGACUGCAGCUUUCCCCCAGAUGUACCUAAUGCCCAACCAGCUUUGGGAGCUCUUACAAGUUUUCCCGAACAAAGCACAGUAACAUACAAAUGCAACGAAGGCUUUGUAAAAGUUCCUGGCAAGGCAGACUCAGUGGUCUGUCUGAAUAAUAAAUGGUCAGAGGUUGCAGAAUUUUGUAAUCGUAGCUGUGAUGUUCCAACCAGGCUACUUUUUGCAUCUCUCAAAAAGUCUUAUACCAAACAGAAUUAUUUCCCAGAAGGUUCCACUGUAGAAUAUGAUUGCCGUUUGGGUUACAUAAGGGACCAUUCUCUCUCAGGAAAUCUAACUUGCCUUCAGAAUUUUACGUGGUCCAAACCUGAUGAAUUUUGUAAAAAAAAAUCAUGUGCUAACCCUAGAGAAAUAAAAAAUGGUUAUGUCACUAUACCACAUGACCUAUUAUUUGGAUCGUCCAUCCAUUUUUCAUGUAAUACAGGGUACAAAUUAGUUGGUGCAACUUCUAGUUACUGUUCUCUUGCGGGAAGUACUGUUGAGUGGAGUGAUCCGUUUCCAGAAUGCCAAGAAAUUUUAUGUUCAGAACCACCAGAAGUUGACCAUGGAAUGAUUGAAAAGAAACAAAACAGUUAUGCAUAUAGACAAUCUGUAACAUAUAAAUGUAUGAAAGGCUUCACCCUGCAUGGAGAGAGCUCUAUCAAUUGUACUGUAAAAGAUGACCAAGGAGAGUGGAGUGGCCCCCCACCUGAAUGCAAAGAAACCUUUCAAAUUUACAAAGUCACACCAGCAGUUCAGAAACCCACCAGAGUACAUGUUCCAGCUACCAAAGCCCCAUCAUCUCCUCAGAAAUCUACCACAGUGAAUGCACCAGCUACAAAGGUCCCACCAACUCCUCAGAAAUCCCCCACUGUAAAUGUUUCAGGUACAGAAGCCCCACCAACUCCUCAGAAACCCACCACUGUAAAGGUUUCAGUUACAGAAGCCCCACCAACCCCUCAGAAACCCACCACUGUAAAAGUUUCAGCUACAGAAGCCCCAUCAACUCCUCAGAAACUCAUCAAAAUAAAUUCUUCAGCUACAAAGUCCCCACUAGUUUCUCAGAAACCCACCACUGUAAAUGUUCCAGCUACAGAAGUCUCAUCAGCUCCUCAGAAACCUUCCACAGCAAAUGAUUCAGCCACAACAGCCCAAAAUUCCCUCAUAUCAAACACUGUCUCUACAGCAGUUCAGAAUCCUAUCAUGGCAAAUGCUUCUGCAUCACAGGCCACACCACCAACCCAAAGAUUCACCACGGCAAAAUCUUCACUUACACAGAAUCUUAGAGCAACACAAAAGUCCACUGCUGUACAUACCCCAGUGACCAAGAGUCUCCAUGCAACACAAAGAUUGACCUCUACUCAUGUUACAGCAACAAGGAGUCCAGCUGUUCCCAGGGCAACCACACGUUUUCAUGCAACAAGCACACCUAAAGGAGGAGGAAGCUCUCCUUCAGUUGCUAGCAUCAUUGCAUCGGCUCUUACUACACACAUGAGAACAACAAAGCGUUUAAUGUUAAGUUUCAUAAUUUGACUGUGACUGGUGAUGCUAUGGAAGUAAGAUCUUCUAUUAAUUUACAACAGGACAUAUAUGCAUGACAUUGACAGUUUUGCUUAUGAUGCUAGUAACCAUUGGCUAACUGAGCCAGAGAAGAGUUGAGAAGAACGUGCACAUGAGUACACAGAAUAUUUCUAGUUUUGUAGAACUUUCUGAUGGAGUGAACACAGCAUAUGUGGUAGUGUUCUUCGUUUUGUGUGUUAUCUUGUCUUUAAGAUGAAUAAGAAUGUCCAAGAAGCAAGGAAAAACAAAUCUGUCCUGGAGUCACAUUCUCAGCACUCUUAAGACUCUUGAAAAUAGAAGAACUCACAAGAUUGAGAGUGAUUACUUUCAUAAAAGUGUGGGAAAGUGGAGAGAUUUGUUGAUACUUAGAAUGUGAACAAGAAGAAAAGGAAAAAAGUGAAUUUGUUUUCAAUGAAUGUGUAAUGUUAUUUUUACUUACAAAGGACACAACAAAUUAAAAACAUUAAUUGGAUAUUGAAAACAAAUAAACCAUUCUCUUCUAAGGAAAAUUGUCAAAGAGUGAUGAAACAUUAUAAAAUAAUCCUUCCUGACUAAAAGGCAUUUUCAUCUUUUCUUAUUCCAUUAAAAUGAGUCUGAAUCAGUUGGCAAAAUUUUUUAAAGGAAAAACAUGCCGAUGACCCAAGAGUGUUGAGUUUCUUGGGUUAUUUGGUGACAAAGGAGGAACAAUUCUUCCUUUGUCAUACAAGUACAGAUAGUGAAUUAGCUCCUUACUCGUCAGAUAAAUCAGCUAUAAUUUUGUUCUUAAGACAAUUAAAAAAAAAACAGCCCUGUGAAAGGGUGAAAGGUGUCUUUAUUGACUUAAUGUCUUUAA